CCCCCUGUGGCCUAGUGGGCAAGGUUACAGUCUUAGGAGCACGGGGUCGUAGGUUCAAGCCCAGCUAGGAACA
This 73-nucleotide transfer RNA is filed under the name Anguilla anguilla (European eel). RNAcentral describes it as "tRNA-OTHER". The record is from RNAcentral. Lineage: Eukaryota; Metazoa; Chordata; Actinopteri; Anguilliformes; Anguillidae.